Molecule: long non-coding RNA, 583 nt
Organism: Nerophis ophidion (straightnose pipefish)
Lineage: Eukaryota; Metazoa; Chordata; Actinopteri; Syngnathiformes; Syngnathidae
Exons: 3
Source: RefSeq, a predicted model, not a curated record
UUUUUAAAUCAGUGAAGCCUAUUGGCUGCUAAGUCCUUCCCGUACAGUAGUUGGCGCUAUGUACCACAAAGCCUUGCGAGCCACGUUCAUUAGGGGAGAAGAAGAAUCGCCACUGAAGAAGAGGAAGAUUUAAAUUGGAGUCGCUUAUCGUUGCUGGAGACCGGAGAGCCGGAGAUCAACGAAGCUACAAAGAAAAAGAAGGAUACUUUACGACGAGAAGGGUCAGUUGAGAAUGAAAAGGCAGGGGGAGAAGAUUUAUGACCUCUUUUUAAAAAGAAGCAAGUCAGGGUCAGGAAAAGAUGAGGCAGACAAACAGCCAGGAUUCAGGUCUGCCAGCAGUCCUGGCAGCUCCCAUCCUGGGACGAGUCAGGAGGAGAGAGAAUGUGAUGCACACAGGCCAUCAUCACCAGUUCCAUUAGACACAGAAGAAAAAGAUGGCAGCUCCCUUCCUGGGACUAGUCGGGAGAGAGAACUCACAACACAGCACAGCCCAUCUUCACCAAGUCAGAGCAUGGACAGAAACAGUCCCAUGCUCAGUUCAGUAAUUAAGUUGCCAAGUUGUGUUUUACAUUUUCUGCAUUGU